This 270-nucleotide ribosomal RNA is filed under the name Triticum aestivum (bread wheat). Its description in RNAcentral is "partial small subunit ribosomal RNA". Lineage: Eukaryota; Viridiplantae; Streptophyta; Magnoliopsida; Poales; Poaceae. The record is from RNAcentral.
AUGGUGACCAUGGACAAUCUGCCGCCUCCGGCGUUUGAGAGUACGCUCGUGGACGAGCCACAGCCGCCGGGAGGAGCUUUGCUCAUGGGCGUCGUUCUUGCCGCCUUAGGCCUUCCUCGCGAGGUUGUCGUGAACUUCUCCACCUGCUGGAGCAGGGAAGAAGGAGGAGCGCCGGGGUGGUUGGUGCGGAUGGACCGCGACGGCGGUGAUGCACAGCCGGUGGCGCAGGAAGGUGGUGGUGGGGAGAGAUGGGGAGAAACGGGAGGUUAG